AUUAGAGUGCCAGAAUAAAUGGAUUAUCUUGAUGUGAUAAAGAUGGAAUUUCCCUCUAAUA
This 61-nucleotide transfer RNA is filed under the name Penenirmus auritus. RNAcentral describes it as "tRNA-Ile". Lineage: Eukaryota; Metazoa; Arthropoda; Insecta; Psocodea; Philopteridae. The record is from RNAcentral.